GUGAGUCAUCGAAUCUUUGAACGCACAUUGCGCCCAUUAGUAUUCUAGUGGGCAUGCCUGUUCGAGCGUCAUUUCAACCCUCAAGCUUAGCUUGGUGUUGGAGUUCUACACACAGUAGACUCUGAAAUUCAGUGGCGGACUCGCUAUGAUUCCGAGCGCAGUAAUCUCUCUCGCUUUGGAUAUCUGGUGUAGCCUUGCCAUGAACACCUGUAUUUUUCUAUGGUUGACCUCGGAUCAGGUAGGAAUACCCGCUGAACUUAAGCAUAUCAAUAAGCGGAGGA
The sequence is an unclassified non-coding RNA, 281 nucleotides long. The stretch from base 1 to 71 matches the Rfam family "5.8S ribosomal RNA", at positions 84 to 154 of the family's 154-position model.